RNAcentral lists this transfer RNA (72 nucleotides) under Mesocricetus auratus (golden hamster). It matches the Rfam family "tRNA". Rfam says of the family: Transfer RNA (tRNA) molecules are approximately 80 nucleotides in length. Their secondary structure includes four short double-helical elements and three loops (D, anti-codon, and T loops). Further hydrogen bonds mediate the characteristic L-shaped molecular structure. tRNAs have two regions of fundamental functional importance: the anti-codon, which is responsible for specific mRNA codon recognition, and the 3' end, to which the tRNAs corresponding amino acid is attached (by aminoacyl-tRNA synthetases). tRNAs cope with the degeneracy of the genetic code in two manners: having more than one tRNA (with a specific anti-codon) for a particular amino acid; and 'wobble' base-pairing, i.e. permitting non-standard base-pairing at the 3rd anti-codon position. The record is from Rfam by way of RNAcentral. Lineage: Eukaryota; Metazoa; Chordata; Mammalia; Rodentia; Cricetidae.
GGGAAUGUAGCUCAAUGGUAAAGUGCUUAGCUAGCAUGAGCAAAGCUCUGAGUUCAAUUCCCAGCAUCCCCU